Pogonomyrmex barbatus (red harvester ant) is the source of this 595-nucleotide long non-coding RNA. NCBI's taxonomy places the organism in Eukaryota, Metazoa, Arthropoda, Insecta, Hymenoptera, Formicidae. The record is from RefSeq and is a predicted model, not a curated record.
UCUCCCGGUCCUCCAACCAGAAGAAGCCAAACGGACGACGACGACGACGAGGAGACCUUUGGCGGUUACACACGGCGUCCUACCGUCUUCUGGUGUGCCUACCUAUUCGGGCUACCAGCGAACCGAGCGACUAAACGAAGCUUCAGUCGACGCCGCGCACCCAAACGGUCCAGACCUGUCAGCCCGGAAGACACACGCGCAGCAUCUCAACACUUUCACGAGCCAUCGACCUACUAAGUAACACGGAGAUCCCGCCAGCGUGACACUGUACGCGCAUCGUACCUUCGCUUUACAACUAAAUCGAGACGCGCUUCGCGAGUUUCGUUCUGCCUCCGUUCGUCGAGAGUUUACAUUUCUAUCCAAGUUUCAACUCAAGAUUUUUUUCCUGAGAAAGAAUACGUCGUGGACGUUGCUCGAGGACAACUCUUAUUCGACAACUUUUUCCUCUAUUCGGAUCGGCAACGAUACGAGGAGUCUCUCGCGACGUGGUACAAGCAGUGAUCUCACUCCCAGGAGUCAGCCGUGCCCGAGACUAGCUUUGCGCGGGAGGAGAAGAGCGAGUCGAAGAGCGACAGUCAGGAAAGACGGAUAAAAA